Non-coding RNA from Pelobates cultripes (western spadefoot toad), 213 nucleotides. The record is from the annotation of a GenBank genome assembly. NCBI's taxonomy places the organism in Eukaryota, Metazoa, Chordata, Amphibia, Anura, Pelobatidae.
CCUACACUUUGACAACACUUUUAUCUCCAAUUUACUCACACAACACAUUUAUGUGCAUUGUAUAUACAAUUCAGUGUUCUCUUUUUUUUUCUCUCUCUCUUUGUCCCUCUAUCCCCUCCAAAAGGUUGAUUUCCUGUCAAUUAUUUUUUAUUUUGAAAAAGAAAUUGAUACCUUGUCUAUAAAUAAUAAACAAGGAAGAUAGUAUAUACUGAC